This 460-nucleotide ribosomal RNA is filed under the name uncultured bacterium. Its description in RNAcentral is "partial 16S ribosomal RNA". It matches the Rfam family "Bacterial small subunit ribosomal RNA", at positions 338 to 795 of the family's 1533-position model. The record is from RNAcentral.
CCUACGGGAGGCAGCAGUGAGGAAUAUUGGUCAAUGGACGAGAGCCUGAACCAGCCAAGUAGCGUGAAGGAUGACUGCCCUACGGGUUGUAAACUUCUUUUAUAACGGAAUAAAAUAGGGUACGCAUGCCUUUUUGUAUGUACCAUAUGAAUAAGGAUCGGCUAACUCCGUGCAAGCAGCCGCGGUAAUACGGAGGAUCCGAGCGUUAUCCGGAUUUAUUGGGUUUAAAGGGAGCGUAGAUGGGUUGUUAAGUCAGUUGUGAAAGUUUGCGGCUCAACCGUAAAAUUGCAGUUGAUACUGGCAGUCUUGAGUACAGUAGAGGUAGGCGGAAUUCGUGGUGUAGCGGUGAAAUGCUUAGAUAUCACGAAGAACUCCGAUUGCGAAGGCAGCUCACUAGACUGCAACUGACACUGAUGCUCGAAAGUGUGGGUAUCAAACAGGAUUAGAUACCCGUGUAGUC